This 468-nucleotide ribosomal RNA is filed under the name uncultured bacterium. RNAcentral's name for it is "partial 16S ribosomal RNA". It matches the Rfam family "Bacterial small subunit ribosomal RNA", at positions 28 to 507 of the family's 1533-position model. The record is from RNAcentral.
GACGAACGCUGGCGGCGUGCUUAACACAUGCAAGUCGAACGGAAAGGCCCUGCUUUUGUGGGGUGCUCGAGUGGCGAACGGGUGAGUAACACGUGAGUAACCUGCCCUUGACUUUGGGAUAACUUCAGGAAACUGGGGCUAAUACCGGAUAGGAGCUCCUGCUGCAUGGUGGGGGUUGGAAAGUUUCGGCGGUUGGGGAUGGACUCGCGGCUUAUCAGCUUGUUGGUGGGGUAGUGGCUUACCAAGGCUUUGACGGGUAGCCGGCCUGAGAGGGAGACCGGCCACAUUGGGACUGAGAUACGGCCCAGACUCCUACGGGAGGCAGCAGUGGGGAAUAUUGCACAAUGGGCGGAAGCCUGAUGCAGCAACGCCGCGUGCGGGAUGACGGCCUUCGGGUUGUAAACCGCUUUCGCCUGUGACGAAGCGUGAGUGACGGUAAUGGGUGAAGAAGCACCGGCUAACUACGUG